AAUCAGUCUUGCAAGCAGUAUACUCCAUGUGGCUGCCAGUUUAUGUGCGGAAAGCAAUGCACCUGUCUACGUAACGGAACUUGCUGCGAAAAGUACUGUGGGUGCUCGAAGAGCAGCAAGAAUCGUUUUAGGGGAUGUCAUUGUGCAAAAAGUCAGUGCAGAAGUAGGCAAUGCCCCUGCUUUGCUGCUGGACGUGAAUGUGAUCCAGAUGUUUGCCGGAACUGCUGGGUGAGUUGUGGAGAUGGUUCAUUGGGUGAGCCCCCCAGGCGGGGUGAGGGCCUAUGUUGAAACAUGAGGCUCCUGCUAAGGCAGCAGCAAAGAGUGAGUGAAUCUUAUGGCGGAUAAGUAUUAGUUUAUUAUAUGUGCAAAACAGAGAUGCAUGGUCUUACUACAUUUUGGUUUUUUAUGCGAUUCAGAGCCUCUUGGCCAAAU
Long non-coding RNA from Eucalyptus grandis, 432 nucleotides. RefSeq lists it as uncharacterized. NCBI's taxonomy places the organism in Eukaryota, Viridiplantae, Streptophyta, Magnoliopsida, Myrtales, Myrtaceae. The record is from RefSeq and is a predicted model, not a curated record. The transcript has 3 exons.